UCAAAGUUUCAUGCCCUAAAUUUCAGUCUAUGGAACUUUUGAUCUAUAAGAAGGGGAAAAAAAUCCCUGACAUUUUUUUUUACAUUUGCAGUAUUCGAAUUGAGGAUACUGGAUUGAUAUGGGCCAUGCUCAAAUAGGCUUUCCAGUCAAUAAAUCUAGCAUGAAAUUCAAUCAAAGUCCCAUUGGAUUACCCAAAUAGAGCUUCAAUAUCAAUAUUAUCCCUUAUGGUUCCAAUCAAGACGUGUACUAGGGUACACUAAAUAUUUUCUGUAUUUUAACAUUCAGUAGCGGUAACUUAGAGAGAAAUCGAAUAAUUGUGUUACUAAAAACUUUUCUUUUCUGUUGCAUUACGUCCCUCCCAUGGAUCCCCUGGU
RNAcentral lists this long non-coding RNA (374 nucleotides) under Elaeis guineensis (African oil palm). RNAcentral describes it as "long non-coding RNA (EGUI_LNC071831)". Lineage: Eukaryota; Viridiplantae; Streptophyta; Magnoliopsida; Arecales; Arecaceae. The record is from RNAcentral.